Molecule: ribosomal RNA, 783 nt
Filed under: Burkholderia lata
Lineage: Bacteria; Pseudomonadati; Pseudomonadota; Betaproteobacteria; Burkholderiales; Burkholderiaceae
Description: bacterial LSU rRNA
Rfam family: Bacterial large subunit ribosomal RNA
Source: RNAcentral
AGGCCAUGCGAGCGAACGCGGUGAACUGAAACAUCUAAGUAACCGCAGGAAAAGAAAUCAACCGAGAUUCCCAAAGUAGUGGCGAGCGAAAUGGGAUGAGCCUUGUACUCUUUAUUUGUAUUGUUAGCCGAACGCUCUGGAAAGUGCGGCCAUAGCAGGUGAUAGCCCUGUAGGCGAAAACAGUAUGAAAGAACUAAGUGUACGACAAGUAGGGCGGGACACGUGAAAUCCUGUCUGAAGAUGGGGGGACCAUCCUCCAAGGCUAAAUACUCGUGAUCGACCGAUAGUGAACCAGUACCGUGAGGGAAAGGCGAAAAGAACCCCGGGAGGGGAGUGAAAUAGAUCCUGAAACCGCAUGCAUACAAACAGUCGGAGCCUCGUAAGGGGUGACGGCGUACCUUUUGUAUAAUGGGUCAGCGACUUACGUUCAGUAGCAAGCUUAACCGUAUAGGGCAGGCGUAGCGAAAGCGAGUCCGAAUAGGGCGUUCAGUUGCUGGGCGUAGACCCGAAACCAAGUGAUCUAUCCAUGGCCAGGAUGAAGGUGCGGUAACACGUACUGGAGGUCCGAACCCACUAACGUUGAAAAGUUAGGGGAUGAGCUGUGGAUAGGGGUGAAAGGCUAAACAAACUUGGAAAUAGCUGGUUCUCUCCGAAAACUAUUUAGGUAGUGCCUCGUGUCUCACCUUCGGGGGUAGAGCACUGUCAUGGGUUGGGGGGUCUAUUGCAGAUUUACCCCGCCAUAGCAAACUCCGAAAUACCGAAGAGUGCAAUCACGGGAGACAG